UACGUAGGGGCAAGCGUUUGUCCGGAUUUAUUGGGCGUAAAGAGCGUGUAGGCGGUUUGGUUAGGUCCGUUGUGAAAACUCGAGGCUCAACCUCGAGACGCCGAUGGAAACCAUCAGACUAGAGUCCGGAAGAGGAAGAGUGGAAUUCCUGGUGUAGCGGUGAAAUGCGCAGAUAUCAGGAAGAACACCCGUGGCUAAGGCGGCUCUCUA
This 210-nucleotide ribosomal RNA is filed under the name uncultured bacterium. RNAcentral describes it as "partial 16S ribosomal RNA". It matches the Rfam family "Bacterial small subunit ribosomal RNA", at positions 524 to 731 of the family's 1533-position model. The record is from RNAcentral.